GACGUAGGAUGCAAGCGUUGUCCGGAUUUAUUGGGCGUAAAGAGUUCGUAGGUGGUUUGUUAAGUCUGAUGUUAAAGACUGGGGCUCAACCUCGGGAGUGCAUUGGAUACUGGCAGACUGGAGUGUAGUAGAGGCAAGCGGAAUUCCCAGUGUAGCGGUGAAAUGCGUAGAUAUUGGGAAGAACACCGGUGGCGUAAGCGGCUUGCUGGGCUAUAACUGACGCUGAGGAACGAAAGCUAGGGGAGCAAAUGGG
Molecule: ribosomal RNA, 253 nt
Filed under: uncultured prokaryote
Description: partial 16S ribosomal RNA
Rfam family: Bacterial small subunit ribosomal RNA
Source: RNAcentral